CUGAAGAAAGAGUACCCACUGUGCUCUGAAGCCACUGCCUGGUACAGGAAAUGGUAUACUUCGGGACAGACCCAGUAGCUCAAGCCAUGCACACAGCAACAGCAGAAGCAAAAGUUCUUUGCAAGGAACCGGAUUUUGACCAGUGAGAGAGGGGAAACAUCCCCAUGGUAUAAGCAAGAUUCUCAAGAUUUUUCAACAGAAGAUUAAGGAAAAAAGAGAUGGUGGGAAGCUGCUUCACACUGGGGAGGCUGAUGCAGAUCACUGGAUGAGCAGCUACUGAAAGGUGUGCCAGGACAGGAAACUGCACUUGUUUUCCACUGAGGGAGAAGCCUUUGCUGCACAGAGGUUGAUCAGACAGGGGAGGUUCUGCCAUCGCUGUGACGAG
Oxyura jamaicensis (ruddy duck) is the source of this 385-nucleotide long non-coding RNA. RefSeq lists it as uncharacterized. NCBI's taxonomy places the organism in Eukaryota, Metazoa, Chordata, Aves, Anseriformes, Anatidae. The record is from RefSeq and is a predicted model, not a curated record. The transcript has 3 exons.